UACAGGGGGGGCAAGCGUUGUUCGGAAUUACUGGGCGUAAAGGGUUCGUAGGUGGCCAACUAAGUCGGACGUGAAAUCCCUCAGCUUAACUGGGGAACUGCGUCCGAUACUGGAUGGCUUGAGUGCAGGAGAGGAAUGCGGAAUUCCAGGUGUAGCGGUGAAAUGCGUAGAUAUCUGGAGGAACACCGGUGGCGAAGGCGGCAUUCUGGACUGCAACUGACACUGAGGAACGAAAGCCAGGGGAGCGAACGGG
RNAcentral lists this ribosomal RNA (253 nucleotides) under uncultured bacterium. Its description in RNAcentral is "partial 16S ribosomal RNA". It matches the Rfam family "Bacterial small subunit ribosomal RNA", at positions 524 to 776 of the family's 1533-position model. The record is from RNAcentral.